CCUACGGGUGGCAGCAGUCGAGAAUCUUUCACAAUGGGGGAAACCCUGAUGGUGCGACGCCGCGUGGGGGAAUGAAGGUCUUCGGAUUGUAAACCCCUGUCAUGUGGGAGCAAAUUUACAAGAUAGUACCACAAGAGGAAGAGACUGCUAACUCUGUGCCAGCAGCCGCGGUAUUACAGAGGUCUCAAGCGUGGUUCGGAAUCACUGGGCGUAAAGCGUGCGUAGGCUGUUUGGUAAGUCGUGUGCGAAUGGCGCGGGCUCAACCUGCGGACGGCGCAUGAUACUGGGAGACUAGAGUAAUGGAGGGGGAACCGGAAUUCUAGGUGUAGCAGUGAAAUGCGUAGAUAUCGGGAGGAACACUAGUGGCGAAGGCGGGUUCCUGGGCAUUAACUGACGCUGAGGCACGAAGGCCAGGGGAGCGAAAGGGAUUAGAUACCCGGGUAGUC
This 446-nucleotide ribosomal RNA is filed under the name uncultured bacterium. Its description in RNAcentral is "partial 16S ribosomal RNA". It matches the Rfam family "Bacterial small subunit ribosomal RNA", at positions 338 to 795 of the family's 1533-position model. The record is from RNAcentral.